GUCCGUAUGUCUCGCCGAUUGAACAUAACAAACGUUUAUUAUAAAACGAUACAUUUUCAUUUUUUUUUUUUUAAUACUGACCAUCGUUUUUCGGAGGACACUCGUUGAAUCGGCUACCGAUUUUGAGUAAAUAUUGAAACGGUUCCCGAAACCACAAAAUAAUAUUAUAUACUUUUACUAUUAUAUGCAAUUUUGGUCGACCGAUAUAUUUUUGAAAACAAGGCGUAUGGAGUCAGAUCAAAGGGUGAAAUAUUAUCGACAAUUCGUAUUUGAGAGCCCAAUUCAAUUUUCUCUGUUCUCCUCGAAAUGGCUGCAUCAGAAAUCCGUCCCGCGGGUCGGGUAAUUGCCUCCGAAUCCCGUAGAUAUUUAAAUUAUUAAGAUUUUCGUUGUUUUUUUCUUUUCCAGGCGUAGGGCUGGCAGCUUUGCCGGUAUGUUUAAAAACUUGUAUGUUUUUUUUUUCCUUAUCGCGAGCCACGAAAACAUGAAAAGAAAUAAUUAUGUACAGACCCGUCGGAAUUAAAGGAGAAACGGACAUUGGCACGGUAGUAUGUUAUACCAUAUGCAGUAGGUGCCUUACUUCUCAGAAGGAACGAAACGACGAGAGGGCGAACUCGGACUGUCUCGAAAUCGCGGUUUGCAAACCCGAUCGUCGGACGAGAAGAACAAUUGUAUUACGGAAGCGGCGCUCAAAUAACCGUCCGUAUGUAAAUCGUUAUUGUAUAUAAGGUAUACGUACGAGUUAUAUACAUAUAUUGUUGUUCUAUCCGGUCGAUUAUGGUACCCGAA
Non-coding RNA from Cinara cedri, 786 nucleotides. The record is from the annotation of a GenBank genome assembly. NCBI's taxonomy places the organism in Eukaryota, Metazoa, Arthropoda, Insecta, Hemiptera, Aphididae.